Molecule: unclassified non-coding RNA, 149 nt
Organism: Macaca fascicularis (crab-eating macaque)
Lineage: Eukaryota; Metazoa; Chordata; Mammalia; Primates; Cercopithecidae
Rfam family: Metazoan signal recognition particle RNA
About the family: The signal recognition particle (SRP) is a universally conserved ribonucleoprotein. It is involved in the co-translational targeting of proteins to membranes.
Source: Ensembl
GCCGGGCGUGGUCGCGCACACCUGUAGUCCCAGCUACUUGGGAGGCUGAGGUAGGAGGAUCACCUGAGCCUGGGGAGGCUGAGGCUGCAGUGAGCUAUGAUAGUAACACUGCCCUUCAGCCUGGGUGACAGAGUGAGACCUUGUCUCUA